ACUUUCUAAUGUGCCUAAAGCAGUUAACCCAGGAUUGGAAUGAAGGUUUAACCCAAACAGAGGAGAAUGCAUAUUCAGACAGAUGGACUUUAUGUAUAUUUGUGUAGAUCCCGUUAAGGGGUGGAGGGUGUGCUGCUGGCACCCAUGUGCCUCACCUCCUUGGUGCUGUGGACAGUGGUACUGUGGUCAAGAAGACUCUUCUUAAGCACUGAGGGCAACUCUGCUUCUUGGUGCUUGGAAUGGUGACUUGGUGGCCUGGAAGGCUCCUCCUCAGUGCUGGUGAACAUUUUAUUUCAAGUUCCACAGCAAGAUGGCUUAAUUGCAAAUGGAAGAUCUCAAGACUGGGAGAUUCCUGGAAAUACAGGAAGAAAUUGUGGAGCUUCUUGUGACUUAGCCCCAAAUGUGACUGACUGCCCCUCCUGCUGCAUUCUAUUGGUCCUGUAGCCCACACAUAGGUUCUUAGACUUUGUCUUUUGAUAUGGGACUAAUAAGAUGUCAUUAAGAAGAGGAUAUGGGAGAUGUAAUUUUAGGCCAUCCUAGGAAAAUACAAUCUUCUACAAUUCUAUAAUAAGAAUGCUCAUUGUUUUAUAAUAUGCUUUCUUUCAUUCCUUUAAAUAAUAGAUUCCAAGAUUUAGAGUUGUUUACUAUGCUCAUAGAUAUUUCACCAGAUACUGCAAUUUCAGCAUUCUCUCUCUCCUCUCUCUCUCACACACACAUGCACACACACACACACACACACACAGACAUACACAGAUACAUACUCACACACAUACUCCCUCCUAUACCU
This is a long non-coding RNA of Heterocephalus glaber (naked mole-rat), 787 nucleotides long. The record is from Ensembl. NCBI's taxonomy places the organism in Eukaryota, Metazoa, Chordata, Mammalia, Rodentia, Bathyergidae.